RNAcentral lists this long non-coding RNA (933 nucleotides) under Marmota monax (woodchuck). The record is from RNAcentral. Lineage: Eukaryota; Metazoa; Chordata; Mammalia; Rodentia; Sciuridae.
GCCGAAAACUGAAAAAUAAAUAUUAAAAAAAAAAGAAAAGAAACUUAAAAAAAAUUGCUAGCACAGUGUCAGCCCCCUAGCAAUUUUUUUAAUAACUUUAUUUUAUUUAUUUUUAUGUGGUGCUGAGGAUCAAACCUCUGAGCCACAAUCCCAACCCUGUGCUAGCAAUUUUUUUUUUGGGGGGGGUAGGGUACCAGAGAUUGAACUCAGAGGCACUCGACACUGAGCCACAUCUCUAGCCCUGUUUUGUAUUUUAUUAGAGACAGGGUCUCACUGAGUUGCUUAGCGCCUUGCCAAAUUGCUGAGGCUGGCUUUGAAUUCACAAUCUCUUGCCUCUACCUCCCAAGCUGCUGGGAUUACAGGCAUGUGCCACUGCCCCUGGCCUAGCAAUUUUUAAUAUAUGUUCUUACUGAAUUUUCUUAACAAUUUUUAUGGUAGAUAUCUCCAAUUUUUAGACUCCCUCCACAUCCCCCCUCCCCCCCCCCCAAAAUCACUCUGCAGUAUCUAUAGAGGCCUGCCUGGUACUAUUGUAAAUUAGUGAAAUAUAUCACGCUUACACAUAGGGGGAUCUGAGUAAUUUUUGAAAGGGAGGGACAAUUAUGAUAAAUUCCAGUCAGUUUUUGUUACACAGGAUUAUGGAUUUGGUAUUACCCUCUCAGAAACUGGAAAUGUUGUCUGAUAUGUAUGUAGGCCUGAUUUUCAGAAUAUUGUGUGGGCCAAACAAGAUACUUCUACAGACCAAGAUUGAGCUGGGGAGCAUCAAUUUGAAGCCUCUCUCCUAAACUCAGAAGACCAAGCUUAAUUUCUUGUGUUUAUCAACUUUAAAUUAAACACUUUGAAUAUGAAAGUUAAAAAAAUGUGUUUUUUUCAUUCAGAAAAAGCUGCUGUAGAGUACCCACUUUAUUUUAUUUUUUUUAUUUUUUGAAAAUUGAG